RNAcentral lists this ribosomal RNA (369 nucleotides) under uncultured bacterium. RNAcentral's name for it is "bacterial SSU rRNA". It matches the Rfam family "Bacterial small subunit ribosomal RNA", at positions 527 to 896 of the family's 1533-position model. The record is from RNAcentral.
AGAGGGUGCAAGCGUUAAUCCGAAUUACUGGGCGUAAAGGGUGCGUAGGUGGUUUGUUAAGUCAGGCGUGAAAUCCUCGGGCUCAACCUGGGAAUUGCGAUGGAGACUGCAAGGCUUGAAUCUGGCAGAGGGGGGUAGAAUUCCACGUGUAGCAGUGAAAUGCGUAGAGAUGUGGAGGAACACCGAUGGCGAAGGCAGCCCCCUGGGUCAAGAUUGACGCUCAUGCACGAAAGCGUGGGGAGCAAACAGGAUUAGAUACCCUGGUAGUCCACGCCCUAAACGAUGUCUACUAGUUGUCGGGUUUUAAUUAACUUGGUAACGCAGCUAACGCGUGAAGUAGACCGCCUGGGGAGUACGGUCGCAAGAUUA